AGGAGAAUCUUCUAAUGUCCAUAGCAGCAGCACAAGAUGUAACCAACAGCAACUCAGACAGUGGCUGGGACUCUCCUCGUACCACGUCCUCAUUCUCAACCAUGUAAGGACUCCCUCCAUCCACUUUUUGUUUUGCAGAAAAUGUACUGUAUUACUGCAAUUUUCUACAGUUUUAGGUGGAGCAACUCCUGCAGCAGCUGGUUGGAGCAGAGUGAGGAUAAAUCCCUGCCUCGUGAUAGGUCAGAUCAUGGAGCAGGUCUCCACAGGUGUCCCUCUGUGCUGUCCGUAGACUCAGUGGCAAGCACCUUCCUGCCGAGCCCUUCGCCUGACUCGACACGCUCGUCAUCUACAACACGUAUAGGUGUUGCUCGAGGUCAGCCCGGCUGGAUGCUGCCUCCCUGGGCCCUGUGUGUGAUUUACCCGCUGGUGGCUCUGCUGCUGGGAGCCUGCCUGGCAGUUGUGGGACUCUAUGCAAGUUUCUUCUCCAGAACAGUCCUCCUCAUGUGGCUGGUGUCGGCUCUUUCUGCUUUUCUCACCUCUGCUCUGCUGCUGGAACCCCUCAAGGUAAACAUGUUCUCUAAUUAACUCGCUGUCUUUAAUCGAUAAUCAGUCAUAUGUACAUCUUCCCCUUCCUUCCUCAGGUGUGUGUGCAGGCAUUGAUCUACACAGUACUGUGGAGGCUGGUGGAUCCAGAGGUGGAGGAGCAGCUGGCUCGGGAAGCCAGUGUGGUAAGAUCAUUCGGGGAGAACAGCGGGAAGGUUCGACCGCCCUGCGGAUACGGACUGCUGCAGGCGAAAGAGGAGGCCCGAAAAGUUCGAGCUUUACGGUCACUCAUGAGGCACUGUGUGUGCCAGCUGCUGUUCCUGUUGCUGGUCCUGAUGGUCAACUACCAGGACAGAGCAGAAAAAGUGCAGGGCCGACUGCUGUACUCCACCAUCAGACGACACCUUCACACAGCACCCUCGGGACUUCCUAACCUCACCUCACUGAGAGACUGGUCAGAUACAGAGCAGUGGAUCAACCACAGCUUGGUGCCGCACCUCCAUCACAACCCCACCUUGGUGCUUGUAGGGCUGCCACAGCUGCAGUGCACACAUGCACUCGGUGGUCGGGCAGUUUACAUUCUGGGAAACAACAGUGAAUCAACACGCCGAGUCCUAGAAAAUAGGGACAAGAAACAGUUAAAAAGUCUAUCUAUAGACUUCACCCAGUACCACAGAGAGUCCAGUUUAUUCAUGUGUGUGUCUGUACAACUAGAGUGGGUUCAGACACAAGGAGUCACUCCUUCCCUCUCCAUCCAUCCCCUCCUCAUCCCUCCAUCCUCCUCAGGACUGAACCUCCAGAAGGUCCUAAUGGUAACAAACCUAUUUCAAACAAAUUUCAUAAAGAAUCAUGCAC
This is a long non-coding RNA of Parambassis ranga (Indian glassy fish), 1398 nucleotides long. Lineage: Eukaryota; Metazoa; Chordata; Actinopteri; Ambassidae. The record is from Ensembl.